AGCAGAACAAAUAUAUGGGCCUA
Molecule: non-coding RNA, 23 nt
Filed under: Arabidopsis thaliana (thale cress)
Lineage: Eukaryota; Viridiplantae; Streptophyta; Magnoliopsida; Brassicales; Brassicaceae
Source: RNAcentral